Molecule: unclassified non-coding RNA, 371 nt
Filed under: uncultured fungus
Lineage: Eukaryota; Fungi
Description: sequence contains ITS1
Rfam family: 5.8S ribosomal RNA (bases 1-105)
Source: RNAcentral
GAAAUGCGAUACGUAAUGUGAAUUGCAGAAUUCCGCGAAUCAUCGAAUCCUUGAACGCAUCUUGCGCUUGCGAGCCCUCUCGCAAGCACGCCUGUUUGAGCAUCGUUUCUCCAUCUCACCCCUCCCCAAGCCGGCUGCGGGUGGAAGCUGGGCAUUGGAUGGCCUUUAAUCGGCUGUUCAUUGCUUGAAGUGGAGUGCUGGCUGACCUCCUUGUGUACGGCCACGGAGCAGUGGCAUGCUUUCUGUGGUCUGCACGUGAAAAAGAGAGGCAGUUGGGCAAUGCUGCAUCAGGGGGAUGGCAAUGUGUCCAUUUCUCCUGGCCAUUAUCCCAUUGCGAUCUCAAAUCAGGUGAGACUACCCGCUGAACUUAA